GGAAGAUCAGAGCUGGAAGGGGAGGAGUGCUGAGCUGCUGUGCUUGCUGUGGAUCUGGGGCAGCAGUUUCCUAGGUGUCAGACAAUGCUGGAACCAAGAACCUCUGAGCACGUUUCAUCCUCUGGUUUUCCUGAAACUUUCAGUUACACCCUGAAGUUACUGGAAUCCAUGUUCUGUUCAAGUAACCACAUAGAAACUUAUCAUGGAGAUCAGCUGAGACCUCAUGGCAGAAAUCUCGUUUGAAACAACUGGAAAUUACUUCACCUUGGCUCAAGCCACAUCACAACAGAUACUUUCUCCUCCUUCUCCAGCCCUGCUGUGAGCCAAAGGCGUUUUCUGGGCUGCAACUUUCCUGUGCUGAAUGACCUUGAGCCUCUUGCUGCUGCCCUGUCUUUGCUUGGCUCAGCAUGUGCAUCCCUUGCUCUUUUAAAUAUGCCUGCAUGCUCACCUUUGCUGUCUUCCUUUUCCUCCACAGAUGAAGGUAUUGGUCCUUUGUCAGGAUUUGAGACUCCCACGUUUUAGCUCAUAAAUACCUAUAGCAAUUCUCCAUGCUUUUGACAGUGAGGAUUUUUUCACCUUAUUAAAAGAAUGUUGGUAUUGUCAAA
This 605-nucleotide long non-coding RNA is filed under the name Junco hyemalis (dark-eyed junco). RNAcentral describes it as "lncRNA (ENSJHYG00000017023.1)". Lineage: Eukaryota; Metazoa; Chordata; Aves; Passeriformes; Passerellidae. The record is from RNAcentral.